Molecule: small RNA, 804 nt
Filed under: Oryza sativa Japonica Group (Japanese rice)
Lineage: Eukaryota; Viridiplantae; Streptophyta; Magnoliopsida; Poales; Poaceae
Description: sRNA Os06g0662100
Source: RNAcentral
GGGCGGCGUCGCCUUCUUCCCCUUCUCCGACGAGCCGCGCCGCCGCGGCGUCGUAUCCGAGGCAACCCCAGGCCAGAUGGCGGGCGCUGGUCGUCGUGGGCGGCGCGCUCCGCCGCCGCGUACGACGUACGGGGCCACGCGCGAAGACGCGACGCGACCACGGGCGCUCGAGAGGUAACCAACUUGUAGUGUACAUCUUGAUGAAGCAUUGAAGCUCCGCUGCGAAAUUGUAUCGCCGAUGAAACCGUGGGAUCCUUCGAUUUGAUUGAUAUUGAUACACCCUAGUGCCUGCGAAUCUGACUACGGUGGGAGCUCGUCGUAGUUGCUCUAUUGCUAGGGCAGGUCUAAUUAGUACUACUAGUAGUAGUGACACUUAGAUUGACUGAUUGGGUUUCCUGGGGCUAGUGGCCAAAUGGGGGAUUUCAAUCAUCACUGCUUCUUUCAUUUCAUGUAGAUUUUUAAUGGAAAAUUUUUUCCCUCUAUAUCAAAUACUAGACCAUAUAUCCCCUAAAAAAAGUAGACCAUAUAUAUCCUGACUUUGAUAUUGCUACUAGACCAUAUAUGUCCUGACUUUGGUAUUGGAUAGUAGCAUUGAAUCUAGUGUCGACCAAUAGAACCAGUGCUUUUUUUUUCCCUCUUAGCUACUGAUGAUUGUCCAGCUAACUUCUCAUCAACAGGAGUUAACUGAGUUUGGACAACCCUCACAACACAUCAUUUUUCCCUGGGAAUACGCAUAAGAACUGCGUAUUUUUGUAUUAAGAUGGAGUGUUUGUACAGCAGCUCAAGUUACAAAUCCCUAAAAUG